Molecule: unclassified non-coding RNA, 558 nt
Filed under: Hevea brasiliensis (rubber tree)
Lineage: Eukaryota; Viridiplantae; Streptophyta; Magnoliopsida; Malpighiales; Euphorbiaceae
Source: RNAcentral
GGAUUCUCUAACUUCCUCGUAUUUAAACUGAGAAGCUAGCAUAAGGGAUGCCUCUAAUUUCUCAGCUUCAGAAUGAGAAGCUGGUAAAUGGUUUUUUCUUACUUCCUCAGAUUUAGAUUUAGAAGCUGGCUUAUGGGAUGCUUCUAAGUCCUCAACUUCAUAUUGAGAAGCUGGCAAAGCAGAUGAAUUUGUUUCCUCAACUUUCGAAUGAGCUAGAGGCAUGGGGCGCAUUGCUUCCUCUGUUUUAAAACGAGAAGCUGUCAAAGGUGAUGUUUCUGGUUCUUCUUCAAAUUUUGUGGAAAAGGUUUCUAGUUCCUCAUCUUUACAACAAGAAGGUGGCAAAGGGGAUACAUCUGUUUCCUCAGUUUUAGAAUGAGACACCACAUCCAGCUUAUGGACAUCAUCUAUGUUCAACCCUUCUCUUUUCUCAAACCUCUCAACCAAACUGCGCGUCCUUCCUCGCACUACCGCCACUCCAUUCACAAAUCUAACUGGAUGCAACUCUUUCCUACCUUCUGAACCCACAUUACGGUUCUCCCGACUAUUCAGCGGUGGUUG